CCUGGCCCAGGCCUCCCAGGCAUGAGCAAGCAGCUGCAUGGUACUUAGCCACCAGCUGAGGUUAAAUCACAACAACUCCAUCGCUUGAAAUUAGAGAAUAACAUUACGAAAAACACUAACAAGUCUUCCCUUGAAAUCUUCACAUCAUGAUGAAUGUAUGUAAUUUAUCUGGAACAAACUGAAUCUCAUAAGCUCUUUCAGACCUGCUGUCACCUGGACACAUCUGCAAUGGUUGAAGUGUGCGAAAAAAAAAGCAACUCUUUGCCAAGCAGCAGGCACAAGCUAAAACAGUACAUGGACCCUUAGUUUUGGGUGGCAUUAGCAGAACAGGACUUUAAUAUUCAGCUGCCACUCGUGGCUCAGGGAGAAAAGUGUGUGAAUGCCACCUAAGAGGCAGCAAGGUCUCCCUCAGGCUCUCUCUACAAAGAACAGACAGCACAAGCAAGAACUAGAGAUACAGUAAACUGAAUUCACCAGCCCAAGACACAGAAAAGAUGCUUUACCUGUCAGAAAAGGUCAGCUGCAGAGUAAAAGCUCUGCUGCCAUGCUAGCCUUGAUGGGCUUUCCUACUUGCUGGUUUGGGAUCAGAAGUUCAACCUGAUUUUUCUCCAGCUGACUUUGGCUCAGAACUGGCAUUCUUAAAUAACACCCCACUGAUAGUAUAAAAAUAGAGUAUUACAAAAGUCAUUAUGACUUUCCUCUUGCGCCUAACAUUUUUGGUCAAAGUAAAAAACCUGAAAUUUAACAUUUUACUGACAGAUUAUCAUACAGCACCUUUUUUGAGAUCCCUAAGCUAACCUCAAAUGAGCUCUAAUGUUCAUAUGGCUCUGUGCAAUUUAGCUCAGAGUCAAGCAGCAUGACAAUUACAUUCAUAAAAAGAAAUACCCCAAAGAGAUAAGUUAAUUAACAAUUAAUUACAUCGGUGCAAUCUGUGCUAAGGUGAUUCUAUCAUUUCUGUUCCCAGAGACUAAUAAUUUGAAAACUGCAGAUAUGUCAGUAUCAAUUACAGAUGGCCUCCCAAAGCCAACCUGCAUAGGAGUGCUCUGCUCUGCCACCCUGCUAAGGAAAAUGAAAUAAGCAGCCACUGCCAUCACACAACUAGUAAAAUUAUUUUGCCUAACAAUUGUGCAAGACAAUCUAGGCAGUAUCAACAGUUGCAGAAAUGUCUUAACAUAUCUCACAGAAACAUAAACCCUCCAUUUUAUAAGCCUCUUACAUCCUCUCCUCUCUCGGUAUCACCCACUUCAGUUUAAUCCCAUUAUAUAUCAUAAAGCACAUCACACCAUCUGGGGAAAAAGAAGUUGCUUUCUACAAAACAAAUCACUCCUCCACUUAUAGAAGUCAAAGUAAUUAUUAUCUUGAAAUAAACCUGAAAUAUUUCCUAGAGAAAGAAAUUGCUGUAACUUGAGCGCUGGGAGAUGCAGGAAAUACAGACCCAAGCCUCAGCACAUCUAAUGGAUGACUUGUUUGCUGCUGUGUUCUCUCAGUAGUUUUACAUCAGUAUUAUAUAAUUUAUGCAUGGUUUAUUACAUAAUUUAUGCAUCGUUUGAGCACAAGGUGUUGGUGACUAACAUGUAUACCCAGUUCACUGCCAUAGCUAUAAGCAUAGAACUAUCGUCUUUGUUGAUCACCUGU
Long non-coding RNA from Neopelma chrysocephalum (saffron-crested tyrant-manakin), 1635 nucleotides. RefSeq lists it as uncharacterized. The record is from RefSeq and is a predicted model, not a curated record. The transcript has 3 exons. NCBI's taxonomy places the organism in Eukaryota, Metazoa, Chordata, Aves, Passeriformes, Pipridae.